CUUAGUAGUUUGAUCCUGGCUCAGAUUGAACGCUGGCGGCAGGCUUAACACAUGUCGUUGGAGCGGUAGCACAGGGGAGCUUGCUCCCCGGGUGACGAGCGGCGGACGGGUGAGUAAUGUCUGGGAAACUGCCUGAUGGAGGGGGAUAACUACUGGAAACGGUAGCUAAUACCGCAUAACGUCGCAAGACCAAAGAGGGGGACCUUCGGGCCUCUUGCCAUCAGAUGUGCCCAGAUGGGAUUAGCUAGUAGGUGGGGUAAUGGCUCACCUAGGCGACGAUCCCUAGCUGGUCUGAGAGGAUGACCAGCCACACUGGAACUGAGACACGGUCCAGACUCCUACGGGAGGCAGCAGUGGGGAAUAUUGCACAAUGGGCGCAAGCCUGAUGCAGCCAUGCCGCGUGUGUGAAGAAGGCCUUCGGGUUGUAAAGCACUUUCAGCGAGGAGGAAGGUGGUGAGCUUAAUACGUUCAUCAAUUGACGUUACUCGCAGAAGAAGCACCGGCUAACUCCGUGCCAGCAGCCGCGGUAAUACGGAGGGUGCAAGCGUUAAUCGGAAUUACUGGGCGUAAAGCGCACGCAGGCGGUUUGUUAAGUCAGAUGUGAAAUCCCCGGGCUCAACCUGGGAACUGCAUUUGAAACUGGCAAGCUAGAGUCUCGUAGAGGGGGGUAGAAUUCCAGGUGUAGCGGUGAAAUGCGUAGAGAUCUGGAGGAAUACCGGUGGCGAAGGCGGCCCCCUGGACGAAGACUGACUCUCAGGUGCGAAAGCGUGUGUAGCAAACGGGAUUAGAUACGCUGGUAGUCCACGCUGUAAACGAUGUCGAUUUGGAGGUUGUGCCCUUGAGGCGUGGCUUCCGGAGCUAACGCGUUAAAUCGACCUCCUGGGGAAUACGCCCGCGAGGUUCCACUCAAUUGAAUUGACAGUGGCCCGCACAAGCGGUGGAGCAUGUGCGUUAAUUCUAUCCAACACGA
This 970-nucleotide ribosomal RNA is filed under the name Serratia nematodiphila. RNAcentral's name for it is "bacterial SSU rRNA". It matches the Rfam family "Bacterial small subunit ribosomal RNA", at positions 1 to 964 of the family's 1533-position model. The record is from RNAcentral. Lineage: Bacteria; Pseudomonadati; Pseudomonadota; Gammaproteobacteria; Enterobacterales; Yersiniaceae.